RNAcentral lists this ribosomal RNA (216 nucleotides) under Glomeromycotina sp. RNAcentral describes it as "partial small subunit ribosomal RNA". The stretch from base 40 to 216 matches the Rfam family "Eukaryotic small subunit ribosomal RNA", at positions 686 to 864 of the family's 1831-position model. The record is from RNAcentral. Lineage: Eukaryota; Fungi; Glomeromycota.
GGGUCAGUAGGUUGGUCGUGCCACCGGUACGUACUGGUCUCACUGAUUCCUCCUUCCUGAAGAACCGUAAUGCCAUUAAUUUGGUGUUGCGGGGAAACAGGACUGUUACUUUGAAAAAAUUAGAGUGUUUAAAGCAAGCUAACGCUUGAAUACAUUAGCAUGGAAUAAUGAAAUAGGGCGAUCGAUCCUAUUUUGUUGGUUUCUAGGAUUGACGUA